UUUAAGUGAAGCCAUAAGUUUCCACGCCCAAUUUUGAUCAUCCGACUUAUUUGAAAUUUUUUUAUAAUUAGUAUUUUUGUUGUUAUGAAAUGAUAAAGCAUAAAUAGUACUUUACUCCUAACUUAUGUUUUUAAUUUUUUUUAAAAGUUUUUUAAAUAAAACGGACGGUUAAAAUUAGGCGCGAAAAACUAAAACUGUAUUUAAA
Oryza glumipatula is the source of this 205-nucleotide non-coding RNA. Lineage: Eukaryota; Viridiplantae; Streptophyta; Magnoliopsida; Poales; Poaceae. The record is from Rfam.